GACGAACGCUGGCGGCGUGCUUAACACAUGCAAGUCGAACGGAAAGGCCUGCUUUCCCUUGUGGAUUGCGGGUACUCGAGUGGCGAACGGGUGAGUAACACGUGAGUGAUCUGCCCCCAACUUGGGUAUAAGCCUGGGAAACUGGGUCUAAUUCCCGAUAGGACUGCAGGGUGGUGCCUGUGGUGGAAAACGAUUUUCUAGUGGUUGGGGAUGAGCUCGCGGCCUAGCAGCUUGUUGGUGGGGUAGUGGCCUACCAAGGCGGCGACGGGUAGCCGGCCUGAGAGGGUGGACGGAGAGAGUGGGACUGAGAUACGGCCCAGACUCCUACGGGAGGCAGCAGUGGGGAAUAGUGCACGAUGGGCGGAAGCCUGAUGCAGCGACGCGGCGUGGGGGAUGACGGCGUGCGGGUUGUAAACUCCUUUCGACCGCGAGGAAGCCACCUGGUUGGAAGGGUGGUGACGGUAGUGGUAGAAGAGGCACCGGCUAACUACGUG
This 494-nucleotide ribosomal RNA is filed under the name uncultured bacterium. Its description in RNAcentral is "partial 16S ribosomal RNA". It matches the Rfam family "Bacterial small subunit ribosomal RNA", at positions 28 to 507 of the family's 1533-position model. The record is from RNAcentral.